This is a non-coding RNA of Podarcis lilfordi (Lilford's wall lizard), 70 nucleotides long. NCBI's taxonomy places the organism in Eukaryota, Metazoa, Chordata, Lepidosauria, Squamata, Lacertidae. The record is from the annotation of a GenBank genome assembly.
GGCUAGCUCAGUUGGUUGAGCAUGAGAUUCUUAAACUCAGGUUUGUGGGUUUGGAGCCCCACGUGGGGCA